Non-coding RNA from Pelobates cultripes (western spadefoot toad), 253 nucleotides. The record is from the annotation of a GenBank genome assembly. Lineage: Eukaryota; Metazoa; Chordata; Amphibia; Anura; Pelobatidae.
UUUAUAUUUGACAUGAUUGUAAAUUGUCAUUUAUCAAUAUUACUUGAUGAUGAAUCCUACUAUGUCAAUCUCAAGAGACUGGUUCUCAUCCCUGAGCUUGUAGUUCCUCUUCCGUCCUAAAAAUUAAACCAAAAAGCAGAAUUUAACCUGUAGAUCCUGCUCUCUACUGCCCUCUUCCAGUGAUAAGUGACCAUGCACUUUCAGAAUUCAGCUUUUCAGUGAACUUUAUAACCGUAUUGAUGCAUGAAGCGCC